RNAcentral lists this ribosomal RNA (400 nucleotides) under uncultured bacterium. RNAcentral's name for it is "bacterial SSU rRNA". It matches the Rfam family "Bacterial small subunit ribosomal RNA", at positions 355 to 774 of the family's 1533-position model. The record is from RNAcentral.
UUAGGAAUCUUCCACAAUGGGCGAAAGCCUGAUGGAGAGACGCCGCGUGAGGGAUGAAGGCCUUAGGGUUGUAAACCUCUAAAAGAGGGACGAUAAUGACGGUACCUCUUGAAUAGCACCGGCUAACUCCGUGCCAGCAGCCGCGGUAAUACGGAGGGUGCAAGCGUUAUCCGGAUUUACUGGGUUUAAAGGGUGCGUAGGCGGGCAUGUAAGUCAGUGGUGAAAUACCGGAGCUUAACUUCGGAAAUGCCAUUGAUACUAUAUGUCUUGAAUAUUGUGGAGGUAAGCGGAAUAUGUCAUGUAGCGGAGAAAUGCAUAGAUAUGACAUAGAACACCGAUUGCGGAGGCAGCUUGCUACGCAAAUAUUGACGCUGAGGCACGAAAGCGUGGGGAUCAAACA